RNAcentral lists this ribosomal RNA (500 nucleotides) under uncultured bacterium. RNAcentral's name for it is "bacterial SSU rRNA". It matches the Rfam family "Bacterial small subunit ribosomal RNA", at positions 212 to 703 of the family's 1533-position model. The record is from RNAcentral.
CUGGCGCCUGAGGAUGAGCCUGCGGCCAUCAGCUAGUUGGUAGGGUAAUGGCCUACCAAGGCGAAGACGGGUAGCUGGUCUGAGAGGAUGAUCAGCCACACUGGAACUGAGACACGGUCCAGACUCCUACGGGAGGCAGCAGUGGGGAAUCUUGCGCAAUGGGCGAAAGCCUGACGCAGCGACGCCGCGUGAGUGAUGAAGGCCUUCGGGUUGUAAAAGCUCUGUGGAGGGGGACGAAUAAGGGCUGGCUAACAUCCAGCUUGAUGACGGUACCUCUUUAGCAAGCACCGGCUAACUCUGUGCCAGCAGCCGCGGUAAGACAGAGGGUGCAAACGUUGUUCGGAAUUACUGGGACGUAAAGCGCGUGUAGGCUGCUUCGAAAGUCGGAUGUGAAAGCCCCUGGGCUCAACCUAGGAAGUGCAUUCGAAACUUCGAAGCUGGAGUCCUGGAGAGGAUAGCGGAAUUCUCGGUGUAGAGGUGAAAUUCGUAGAUAUCGAGAG